This 460-nucleotide ribosomal RNA is filed under the name uncultured bacterium. Its description in RNAcentral is "partial 16S ribosomal RNA". It matches the Rfam family "Bacterial small subunit ribosomal RNA", at positions 338 to 795 of the family's 1533-position model. The record is from RNAcentral.
CCUACGGGCGGCAGCAGUGAGGAAUAUUGGUCAAUGGACGGAAGUCUGAACCAGCCAUGCCGCGUGAAGGAAGACGGCUCUAUGAGUUGUAAACUGCUUUUGUACAAGGGUAAACCUGAAUACGUGUAUUCAGCUGAAAGUACUGUACGAAUAAGGAUCGGCUAACUCCGUGCCAGCAGCCGCGGUAAUACGGAGGAUCCAAGCGUUAUCCGGAUUUAUUGGGUUUAAAGGGUGCGUAGGCGGAUUGAUAAGUUAGAGGUGAAAUGUCCGAGCUUAACUCGGGAAUUGCCUCUAAGACUGUGGAUCUUGAGAGUAGAUGCGGUAGGCGGAAUGUAUGGUGUAGCGGUGAAAUGCUUAGAGAUCAUACAGAACACCGAUUGCGAAGGCAGCUUACCAAUCUAUAUCUGACGUUGAGGCACGAAAGCGUGGGGAGUAAACAGGAUUAGAUACCCUGGUAGUC